UAACCGGCGAACGGGUGCGUAACACGUGAACAACCUGCCCUCGUGUGGGGGAUAGCCAUGCUAACGCGUGGGUAAUACCGCAUACGUUCCCUUGGAGGAGUCUCUGGGGGAGGAAAGCUCCGGCGCACGGGGAGGGGUUCGCGGCCUAUCAGCUAGUUGGCGGGGUAAUGGCCCACCAAGGCGACGACGGGUAGCUGGUCUGAGAGGAUGGCCAGCCACAUUGGGACUGAGAGACGGCCCAG
RNAcentral lists this ribosomal RNA (242 nucleotides) under uncultured bacterium. RNAcentral describes it as "partial 16S ribosomal RNA". It matches the Rfam family "Bacterial small subunit ribosomal RNA", at positions 92 to 334 of the family's 1533-position model. The record is from RNAcentral.